AUGCUCUCAGUUACCUUGCUUGCCAUGCCCUUGGAAGUGAAGCUGCAACUCCAUUGUUGCACUUUUCUUUGCUUGUCACUGCCAUUGUUUGCUUUCUCCUUAAAGUAUCAGCUUGAUAAUGUUCCCUUGUUCUUUUUCAUAGUGUCUGAGCAGAAGGGUAGCCCAAAGAUCUUAUAUUUUUUAAAGAAAUUUCAGAAGAAAUUCUGUUUCCUGGCAACCUCUACACAUGAGGAUAGACAGAGUUCUGCUUCUCCCCUAACCAGCACUGCUCCUCCUGGAACAGCUGAUAAUUGCAGCACAUCUGGGGCAGGACAGGAACUUGAGCAGAGUUCUGCUCUGGAUUUCCAACCCCCAGCAUAGAAUAGGGCGAGCUUCUCCAGCCCUGAGGUAGCCUCUGCAUGGAUGGCUAGCAGGGCAAAUCAUGGCUCAGCCAUAUGGUGGGGCCUGAUGGCCACAUGUUCUACCACAUGCUUUAAUACUGCUCAUAAAUUUCCUUAGGAAAUUCAUGAAAAAUAAAGGGAUACUUUGCUAUAUCUACA
Molecule: long non-coding RNA, 539 nt
Filed under: Junco hyemalis (dark-eyed junco)
Lineage: Eukaryota; Metazoa; Chordata; Aves; Passeriformes; Passerellidae
Description: lncRNA (ENSJHYG00000015175.1)
Source: RNAcentral